This 394-nucleotide ribosomal RNA is filed under the name uncultured bacterium. RNAcentral describes it as "partial 16S ribosomal RNA". It matches the Rfam family "Bacterial small subunit ribosomal RNA", at positions 523 to 918 of the family's 1533-position model. The record is from RNAcentral.
AUACGUAGGGGGCAAGCGUUAUCCGGAAUUAUUGGGCGUAAAGAGUGCGUAGGUGGUUUUGUAAGCGCGGGGUGAAAGGCUAUGGCUCAACCAUAGUAAGCCUUGCGAACUGUGAGACUUGAGUGCAGGAGAGGAAAGUGGAAUUCCUAGUGUAGCGGUGAAAUGCGUAGAUAUUAGGAGGAACACCAGUGGCGAAGGCGACUUUCUGGACUGUAACUGACACUGAGGCACGAAAGCGUGGGGAGCAAACAGGAUUAGAUACCCUGGUAGUCCACGCCGUAAACGAUGAGCACUAGGUGUCGGGGCCGCAAGGUUUCGGUGCCGCAGUUAACGCAUUAAGUGCUCCGCCUGGGGAGUACGCACGCAAGUGUAAAACUCAAAUGAAUUGACGGGG